Non-coding RNA from Phyllosticta citribraziliensis, 110 nucleotides. The record is from the annotation of a GenBank genome assembly. NCBI's taxonomy places the organism in Eukaryota, Fungi, Ascomycota, Dothideomycetes, Botryosphaeriales, Phyllostictaceae.
UCCGUUGUGGUCUAGUGGCUAGGAUUUGCCGCUCUCAAAGAGUCUCAAAGAGGGUCCGACUCGCUCUGUGAAGCGCCGGCAAGGCCCGGGUUCAAUUCCCGGCGACGGAA